Molecule: long non-coding RNA, 2553 nt
Organism: Ictalurus furcatus (blue catfish)
Lineage: Eukaryota; Metazoa; Chordata; Actinopteri; Siluriformes; Ictaluridae
Exons: 3
Source: RefSeq, a predicted model, not a curated record
UCCUGUUUCCACUGAUCAUCCUUGAGAUGUUUCUACAGCUUGAUUGGAAUCUACCUGUGGUAAAUUCAGUUGAUUGGACCAUAUUUGGAAAGGCACACACCUGUCUAUAUAAGGUCCCACAGUUAACAAUACAUAUCAGAGCACAAACCAAGCCAUAAAGUCCAAGGAAUUGUCUGGAGACCUCCAAGACAGGAUUGUAUCGAGGCACAGAUCUGGGGAAGGAUACAGAAACAUUUUUGCACCAUUGAAGGUCCCAAUGAGCACAGUGGCCUCCAUCAUACAUAAAUGGAAGAAGUCUGGAACCAGCAGGACUCUUCCUAGAGCUGGCCACCCGGCCAAACUGAGCGAUCGGGGGAGAAGGGCCUUAGUCGGGGAGAUGACCAAAAACCCGAUGGUCACUCUGACAGAGCUCCAGCGUGUCUCUGUAGAGAGAGGAGAACCUUCCAGAAGAACAACCGUCUCUGGAGAACUCCAUCAAUCAGGCCUAUAUGGUAGAGUGGCCAGAUGGAAGCCACUCCUCAGUAAAAGGCACAUGACAGCCUAUAACAGAAUAUUGAACUCUUUGGCCUGAAUGGCAAGCGUCAUCUCUGGAGGAAACCAGGCACCACUCAUCACCUGGCCAACACCAUCCCUACAGUGAAGCAUGGUGGUGGCAGCAUCAUGCUGUGGGGAUGUUUUUCAGCGGUAGGAACUGGGAGACUAGUCAGGAUUGAGGAAAAGAUGAAUGCAGCAAUGUACAGAGACAUCCUUGUUGAAAACCUGCUCCAGAGCGCUCUGGACCUCAGUUUGGGGUGAAGGUUGAUCUUCCAACAGGACAACGACCCUAAGCACACAGCCAAGAUAACAAAGGAGUGGCUACAGGACAACUCUGUGAAUGUCCUUGAGUGGCCCAGCCAGAGCCCAGACUUGAACCCGAUUGAACAUCUCUGGAGAGAUCUGAAAAUGGCUGUGCACCGACGCUCCCCAUCCAACCUGAUGGAGCUUGAGAGGUCCUGCAAAGAAGAAUGGGAGAAACUGCCCAAAAAUAGGUGUGCCAAGCUUGUAGCAUCAUACUCAAAAAGACUUGAGGCUGUAAUUGGUGCCAAAGGUGUUUCAACAAAGUGUUGAGCAAAGGCUGUGAAUACUUAUGUACCUGUGCUUUUUUUGUUUUUUAUUUUUUAAUAAAUUUGCAAAGAUUUCAAACAAACUUCUUUCACGUUGUCAUUAUGGGGUAUUGUUUGUAGAAUUUUGAGGAAAAUAAUGAAUUUAAUCCAUUUUGGAAUAAGGCUGUAACAUAACAAAAUGUGGGAAAAGUGAAGCAUUGUGAAUACUUUCCGGAUGCACUGUAUAUAGGAAAUUAGUAGGCAAUAAUGUUUUAAUGCUUAAUGUUAUCCUGUCAAUCAUUUUGAUUUGCUUAACACACUUUUUUCCACACAUUUUGUGUUUUAUGCACUAAAGGAAAAUGGAUAAUGUUGCCUUUCUAAUAAUAUAAUUAUAUUUAUAUGGCCUGUAAAGAGUGUGUUUUUAUUGGUUUUGGGGCCUUUUUUGCGUUAUUGAGGUGGGGAUAGUAGAAAAUUGACAAGACAAUAUAGGAUAGAAGGGUGGGGGUGUGAUCGGGAAAAUACCCUAUAAGCUGGGAAACGAACCCUUCACUAUAGGAGAGAAGCAAUUGAUUUGUCACCUUUCUCUGCACUUAGACUCAACAAUGAAUUAACAAAUAAAUAGGUUAUUUACAUGAAGUAUGUUCAUGAUUUUAUUUAUUUACACUGCCUAGAGAGUACUUCAAGAUGAGAAGAAGCUGUCUCAGUAAAUGUGACUGGGUGGACAUAAAAUGGAAUGGAGGACAAAUUAACCAUUCCACACAACAGGACUGGCACAGCUGUGGAGUGUUUGUCAUUAGUUGUUGGUGCUUUUCCAAAUAUCCCUUGCCAUUUGACUAUAAACUCAUCCAAGGAGCGCAUGGAACAUCUGCAACUGACAAUGGCAGAGGAACUUCUGAAAGCCUCAGUAUUCAAGAGGGGACAUUACUGCUACAUUAUGUGCUGCCUCAAAACCCCUGGAUGGUGGUGCAAAAACAUUUUGGGUGGGUAAUGUAGCAAUGAUUAUAACAUUUUUAUGGGAACACCAUUUUGUUUACAAGUGUGUGUGUUGUGUGUGUAAGAGAGUGAGUGAAUGAAAGAGAAACUAAUUGAUUACUGAGCAAUUUGAUAAGAUUAUAUUAUCUUUUUUCAGAUUGAAUGUCACUGCUGCAAGAAGUGGUUUCAUGUGGCAUGCCUUUCUAUGUCAGAGUAGCAGUUCAAAAGGGCUCAAAAGGUUGACUGGAAGUGCUGCCUAUGUAAAUAAUUUUGAAUUCCUCUGGCUCCCAUCCACAAUCUAAACAUGUACAUAAAUAAAUUAAAAGAAAACAAAUAAAAAUGUUUGAAAUAUUAAAACAUUCGUGGAUCGUCAGUUCUUUUAAUUAUUUCAUUAAUAGGACAUCUAUUUUUUUAAGAAAACCAUUCAAUCCAGUACGGGUCAUUUUGACCCCUUUAUGCAUUCGUGAAGGUUUUUUUGGUUCAUGCAUUGUAGGGUUAA